This 1894-nucleotide ribosomal RNA is filed under the name human gut metagenome. Its description in RNAcentral is "bacterial LSU rRNA". It matches the Rfam family "Bacterial large subunit ribosomal RNA", at positions 3 to 1990 of the family's 2925-position model. The record is from RNAcentral.
UCAAGCGAACAAGGGCGCAGGGCGAAUGCCUUGGCACUGGGAGCCGAUGAAAGACGUGAUAAGCUGCGAUAAGCUUCGGGGAGCUGCAAAUAAGCAUUGAUCCGGAGAUCUCUGAAUGAGGAAACUCACCUGGGUUCAUACUCAGGUACGUUACACUGAACUUCAAAAUAGGUGUAUCGGGGGAACCGCCUGAACUGAAACAUCUAAGUAGGGCGAGGAAGAGACAUCAAACGAGAUUCCGUAAGUAGUGGCGAGCGAACGCGGAAGAGGGCAAACCGUGAGUAGAAAUACUUGCGGGGUACGGACUGCAUUUAGGACUUAAGUUGUUAACCGAACGGCAUGGGAAGGCCGGUCAGAGAGUGUGAGAACCACGUAGGUGAAAACGACAAGAGCCGAGCAAGUUCCAGAGUACGGCCAGACACGUGAAACCUGGUCGGAAGAUGGGGGGACCACCCUCCAACCCUAAAUACUACCCAGUGACCGAUAGCGUAUAGUACUGUGAAGGAAAGGUGAAAAGCACCCCGGGAGGGGAGUGAAAUAGAACCUGAAACCCUGUGCCUACAAGCACCUAGAGCACGUCAAUGUGUGAUAGGGUACUUUUUGUAGAACGGUCCGGCGAGCGAUUGUAUGCAGCAAGGUUAAGGACUUCAGGUCUGGAGCCGAAGCGAAAGCGAGUUUGAAAAGGGCGUUAAGUUGCAUACAAUGGGCCCGAAACCGGGUGACCUACCCAUGGUCAGGUUGAAGUGGAAGUAAAAUUCCAUGGAGGACCGAACCGACCUCCGUUGAAAAGGCGGCGGAUGAACUGUGGGUAGCGGAGAAAUUCCAAUCGAACCCGGAGAUAGCUGGUUCUCCCCGAAAUAGUUUUAGGACUAGCCUCAACUUAGAUAUCUGGAGGUAAAGCACUGAAUAGCCUAGCGGCCGAGAGGUUAGCGAAGCUUAUCAAACUCAGAAUGCCAGAAUAUUGAUGGUUGGGAGUCAGACAGUGUCAGAUAAAUGUCAUUGUCAAAAGGGAAACAGCCCAGAUCUACAGCUAAGGUCCCAAAGUCAGGUUAAGUGGAAAACGAUGUGGAGAUACGCAGACAACCAGGAUGUUGGCUCAGAAGCAGCCACUCAUUCAAAGAGUGCGUAAUAGCUCACUGGUCGAGCGUCUCUGCGCGGAGAAUUUAACGGGGCUAAACCUGACACCGAAGCUUAGGCAAUGUAGUAAUACAUUGGGUAGGGGAGCGUUGUAUACGCGGUGAAACAGUAGCGCAAGCGGCUGUGGAGUGUAUAGAAGUGAGAAUGCCGGAAUGAGUAGCGCGAAUGCAGUGAGAAUCUGCAUGGCCGAAAGCCUCAGGUUUCUGGAGGAAGGUUCGUCCGCUCCAGGUUAGUCGGGAGCUAAGGUGAGGCCUAACGGCGUAGCCGAUGCACAGACGGUAGAGAUUCCGUCACCACCAAAAGAGUUAAACACAGGGACACAUUUGAAGUCUCGGAGCCGGGUGUUGGUUCCGGUAGCGAUCGAGGGAAAUUAGUACCGAAGUCCGGGAUGGAAGAUGGCGAGAAAAGCUGUGUGUAUUUCUGCGGUGCCCGUACCGCAAACCGACACAGGUAGGUAGGAAGAAGAUUCUAAGGCCAACGGGAGAAGGGUUGUUAAGGAACUCGGCAAAUUGACCCCGUAACUUCGGGAGAAGGGGUGCUCCAGAGAUGGAGCCGCAGAGAAUCGGCCCAAGCAACUGUUUACCAAAAACACAGGUUUGUGCUAAAUCGAAAGAUGACGUAUACGAGCUGACGCCUGCCCGGUGCUGGAAGGUUAAGAGGAGAUGUGCAAGCAUUGAAUCGAAGCCCCAGUGAACGGCGGCCGUAACUAUAACGGUCCUAAGGUAGCGAAAUUCCUUGUCAGGUAAGUUCUGACCCG